UCGGAGUCGCCGCUCUCCAAACAGAGCUCCACCUCGUCGUUAACGUUUCCUUGUAGACACGAACGGAACGAGCCUUCUAUUAACGGCAAGAAAACGGUGUAGAGUUUCUGGUUGGUUUCGUCAACGCCGUCAGGCUCCAGGUGGGACCCGCUGUUAGAUUCGGUUAAUAGGAACUGCGUCUCUAGUGGGAUGUCCCGGCCCAGUUGGCCCAUUCUCUGGGCCAUCCACCAGAGCUUGAACCGGAAACAAGACAUGAACCGGGAAUCGUGAAGCUUACCGAUCGGUACGAUGUGGUUACUCUGUUCUGUGUCGAAUACAGCUCCGAGGAAGACUCCUUCGACCGGUCCGGCCUCUGAUGCUGACGUCGUGAUGACAUUGUCUGGUAAACCGGUUAGAACCGUACGGUUUUUGAUGAUUAGAUUCCCGUCGGAGAUUCCAACCGCCGGUUUAAUCGUCAUCUCUUCUUCCUUUUCUCUGUAACUCCUCUUCAACGGCGAAGCAGCCUCGCUUCUCUGUAUUUAUCAGACGGAUUAAAAGAUUCGAUUUUUAGAUUCGGAGUUCUCGAUGGAGCAGAUCAGAUCUAAAGAGAAACGGUACCUUAUACGAACAGGAAUGGAAUCGUCGAGAAGGUGAAGAAGAACAAUGCCUGCGAUAUCCAAGACAUGGAGUAUCAAGAACGAGGCUGUUAGACGUGGAAUCUAACUAUUGAAUAUAAGAGAGAAUGAAGAAGAUGCAAUACCAGAAGACAGACGAAGCUGUGAUGAGAGAAUGCGAGCUUGAGGUUUUGAUUUCAAUUGAAGAUAAGAUGAAGAUGAAGAAGAGAAACGGUAUGUGAGAGAGUGAAACAGAGGAUGAACCCUUUUUAUACUGUUAAUUCCAUUGAAACAUCCUUGUGAUGCCAUUGUUUUCUCUCUCUCUCUCUCUCUCUCUUUUUUCUUCGUUGCUGCUGAGUUAUUUUUUACAAGUUUCUCUCAGUCUUUAACUAUUUAUCCGAUUCCACCGUAUUUUAAUCAAUUUUUUAUUUUAUUAAAUAGGUAAUAAUACUCCUUUAACACGCAUCUUUUGAUUUCUUUUUGUAUCGUGCAAGACGUAUAUUAAUUGUAUUUGCUUUUGUAAAUCACAGUAUUGAUUUUUCAACAUGUUUCAGGUGAUAAUCUUUCAUGUUUAAGAAGCUACGAGAGGCGUCGUCAAAGUUUCGCUCUCAUUCUUGUAGGUUCUGUUCUGUAAGAACAAUAAUUAAGAUUAAAAGUUAGAUUUGUACGUUGACAAGUUAAAAGGAAAGAUUAGGUUGCCACGUGAGAUAUAUGCUGUAACAUCGGGUUAAAAGAAGUUCCCAUUGGUCCGCAUGUUGACGAAACUCGAGAGAUUCAAAGAUUUUUUAAGGGCUUUAAGAUAUUUUUGCACGACCGUCGUACGUGUCAUCGUGUCAGCAGGUUAUCAAUAUAUUAUCACGAGAUAAAUCUAAUUUUCUUUAACUAAAAGUCUAAAAAUAGAUAGAUGUUUGUUGUUGACGAAAAAAAAAGAUGUUUGUUAACAAAAAAAGAAGCAAGAAAAGAAGAAAAAAGAUAGGUUUUACUUGUAACGAGUUUGCCGAUGGAUAUUUUAAUGAAUUUUUCAGCAUUUAACAUUGUAAAAAAAUGAGAUUAUAGAAAGACAUCAACACAAGUGGCUCAAUUAUCUUGCAGUUCAACUUGCUUCAACAAUCCCGAUGUUGUGCGGUCGUGUGGGCCCCCACAGUUCCAUGAUAUUAUAGAAAUUAGAAAAUGUCAUUCUAUUCAGAUAAUAUGAGAGAGAGCACUACACGAAAAAUAAUAAUUUGAUGUUUCUUUCUGUAUUUAUUUGUUUGCAACUGAUGUAUACACAUAUAAAAUACAGAAAAUGAAGUAUUCGGCGAUGCAUGAUUCGCUUGCAACGAAUGAUUUGUUCAGACAGUGAUUGGGAAAACAAAUCAACUUGUGUUUUUCUAUGAAAAAAGAAGCUAGAUAAUUGUCCCAAUUGGACCCAAAAUGCACAAGUAAGAAAAUAAGCAACACAGACUACUUAUCUUUAUAAGCCAAUCUGCUUAUUACCUGACACCAUCUCGAGCAGGAUCUGUGAACAAACAAUCACGAGUUGGUCUACCAGGCAAUCUAGCACGAAGGAUUGAUCCAUCAGGCAACACAAGCUUUCUUAGAAGAUCAAAGUUGUGUUUUCCAGGAGCAUCACUACUCAUCAAGAACAGAGAGAGACAAACAAAUAAGUAAACAGUGUUGAGUUUGCAAUCAUUAAAAUGGAUUUUUGAGAGAUCUGUUACCUAACGUAAAUAGGUCCACCACUGAUGGCCCUAGCAGAGGCAUGAUACUCUGCAGCAGGGUGCACGGAGUGGAACAUGUCCCAGUCAGGCAGCAUAAACUCUCCCAAGAACACACUGUUGUAUGCAACCGAGGCAAUGUGGAUGGUGUGAGACACCGGAUCACGUGGGUAGAAAUCAUCUGAUGCUCUAAUCACAGCUGCUUGCUUGGAGCUGCAUCACCACCGAUCAAAUUCAAAAAAAAUUAUACUCAAAUAAAAAAAAAAUUACUACUCCCUCCGUUUUUAAUAUUUAUGUUUUAGAAUAAAUUUUGUGUUCCUGAUUAUAUAAUGUUUUAAUUUUCAGUGCGAAAUUUAUAAGUUUUUAUAUUAUAUAACAAAUUGUUUUAUACAGUUUGCUUUAUGCAAAUAAUUAAUGAUAUUUUUAAAUAGAAAAUGUAAAAAGAUUAUUAGUUUUUGUGCACAAUUCUAAAGCGUAGUCAUCUAUUACAAAACGGAAGGAGUAAAAGAUAAUGCAAAGACUUACCAGUAGAGAGCAUCUGUGUUAUGGCUCAUACAAGCAAUGCAACCAUUAUCAGGGAAGUUCUUAGCAACAGAGGAAUCAAGAGCCUGAUGAUACUGACGCGUUAACUCGACCCGACCACCUAACCCACCACCAAGAGUCUCCAAUAUACACUGCACAUCCACUUUCACACCGUCCACACCAGCAGCAGCCAAGUAACUAUGAAGCUCGUUGUAGAAUCUAUACACGUUCUUUGGGUUAACCAAACCCAACCCUUGAACCGCCAUAACAUCAGUCUCCCACGUCGGUUCGUUCUCCACCACACCUUUUGACACCAUCGGAUACUUCAUGGAAGACCCGUAUUCCUCCCCGGGUCGUACCCCGCCCCAGUAACCCGUUAUUGCAUGCCACACGUACACGUACUUCAGACCGUGUUUGUUUUUAGCUAUGUCGACUAUGUUCUUGAUCCCCUGUUUUGGGUCGUCCUUGUUCUUGAACUUUGCGUUCUCCUCGAUCCCGGUUAACCGGUAAACCGGGUUCUCAACCGGGUUAUCAUCAUCGUUCUCGACGGACUGCCAACCGUCGUCGAUGAUGACGAACUUCGGCGGCGUAUCUCCGGCGGUUAGAGAGUUAAGCCCUUCCUCGACGCCUUCUUGAGUAACCUCCUGGUAAAACGCGUCCCAAGUGCACCACCCGAAGUAGUCGACGAUCCCCGGGAGCUUCUUCUCGUGACGUUGACGGAAACUCUUGAGAUGCAACUUAACGGCGUGGAUAGCGUCCGUUAUCGUCUGAAACGGAUCAGUGCCGGCGUGAAUAUAUAAAGAGUGAGUAAACGACGACGUUUUAGUGUCGGAGUCGCCGCUCUCCAAACAGAGCUCCACCUCGUCGUUAACGUUUCCUUGUAGACACGAACGGAACGAGCCUUCUAUUAACGGCAAGAAAACGGUGUAGAGUUUCUGGUUGGUUUCGUCAACGCCGUCAGGCUCCAGGUGGGACCCGCUGUUAGAUUCGGUUAAUAGGAACUGCGUCUCUAGUGGGAUGUCCCGGCCCAGUUGGCCCAUUCUCUGGGCCAUCCACCAGAGCUUGAACCGGAAACAAGACAUGAACCGGGAAUCGUGAAGCUUACCGAUCGGUACG
RNAcentral lists this long non-coding RNA (3928 nucleotides) under Brassica napus (rape). Its description in RNAcentral is "long non-coding RNA (BNAP_LNC008866)". The record is from RNAcentral. Lineage: Eukaryota; Viridiplantae; Streptophyta; Magnoliopsida; Brassicales; Brassicaceae.